ACUCCUUUAGUUUAUAAAAAACAGUUCAUUUUCAUUGAACAGAAGAAUGAUUUCUUGGAGAA
Molecule: transfer RNA, 62 nt
Filed under: Polyplax spinulosa (spined rat louse)
Lineage: Eukaryota; Metazoa; Arthropoda; Insecta; Psocodea; Polyplacidae
Description: tRNA-Glu
Source: RNAcentral